This 222-nucleotide long non-coding RNA is filed under the name Homo sapiens (human). RNAcentral's name for it is "long non-coding RNA NONHSAT206838". Lineage: Eukaryota; Metazoa; Chordata; Mammalia; Primates; Hominidae. The record is from RNAcentral.
GGAGAGCCUGCCUGUGGGUUGAAGAUUUGACAAUGAUGUCCUUGGACCAGCUUUUGUUCCCUCAGAUCUGAACUGCUCCCAAGUCUGUGGAUCAAUGGAACGACACUAAAUGGCACAGAUACACCACGUCACGCAGAAUUUCAGGGGAUUUAACUUAUCUGAACAUAUCACGUGUGAAAAGGCUUUUUCCGAGCCCUGUAGAUGGGUCAGGGAUAUGGAAAU